CCUACGGGAGGCAGCAGUGAGGAAUAUUGGUCAAUGGACGAGAGUCUGAACCAGCCAAGUAGCGUGAAGGAUGACUGCCCUAUGGGUUGUAAACUUCUUUUAUAUGGGAAUAAAAUGUUCCACGUGUGGGAUUUUGUAUGUACCAGAUGAAUAAGGAUCGGCUAACUCCGUGCCAGCAGCCGCGGUAAUACGGAGGAUCCGAGCGUUAUCCGGAUUUAUUGGGUUUAAAGGGAGCGUAGGGGGAUGGUUAAGUCAGUUGUGAAAGUUUGCGGCUCAACCGUAAAAUUGCAGUUGAAACUGGCAGUCUUGAGUACAGUAGAGGUGGGCGGAAUUCGUGGUGUAGCGGUGAAAUGCUUAGAUAUCACGAAGAACUCCGAUUGCGAAGGCAGUUCACUGGACUGCAACUGACACUGAGGCUCGAAAGUGUGGGUAUCAAACAGGAUUAGAUACCCGGGUAGUC
RNAcentral lists this ribosomal RNA (460 nucleotides) under uncultured bacterium. RNAcentral describes it as "partial 16S ribosomal RNA". It matches the Rfam family "Bacterial small subunit ribosomal RNA", at positions 338 to 795 of the family's 1533-position model. The record is from RNAcentral.